AUUGAACGCUGGCGGCAUGCCUACCCAUGCCAGUCGAACGGCAGCACGGGUGCUUGCACCUGGUGGCGAGUGGCGAACGGGUGAGUAAUACAUCGGAACAUGUCCUGUAGUGGGGGAUAGCCCGGCGAAAGCCGGAUUAAUACCGCAUACGAUCUACGGAUGAAAGCGGGGGACCUUCGGGCCUCGCGCUAUAGGGUUGGCCGAUGGCUGAUUAGCUAGUUGGUGGGGUAAAGGCCUACCAAGGCGACGAUCAGUAGCUGGUCUGAGAGGACGACCAGCCACACUGGGACUGAGACACGGCCCAGACUCCUACGGGAGGCAGCAGUGGGGAAUUUUGGACAAUGGGCGAAAGCCUGAUCCAGCAAUGCCGCGUGUGUGAAGAAGGCCUUCGGGUUGUAAAGCACUUUUGUCCGGAAAGAAAUCCUUGGCCCUAAUACGGUCGGGGGAUGACGGUACCGGAAGAAUAAGCACCGGCUAACUACGUG
RNAcentral lists this ribosomal RNA (485 nucleotides) under uncultured bacterium. Its description in RNAcentral is "partial 16S ribosomal RNA". It matches the Rfam family "Bacterial small subunit ribosomal RNA", at positions 30 to 507 of the family's 1533-position model. The record is from RNAcentral.